This 327-nucleotide ribosomal RNA is filed under the name uncultured eukaryote. RNAcentral's name for it is "partial 18S ribosomal RNA". It matches the Rfam family "Eukaryotic small subunit ribosomal RNA", at positions 1470 to 1796 of the family's 1831-position model. The record is from RNAcentral.
CCCUUAGAUGUUCUGGGCCGCACGCGCGCUACACUGAUGAAUGCAACGGGCUCUACCCUUGACCGAAAGGCCCGGGUAAACUUGUGAAACUUCAUCGUGAUGGGGAUAGAUUAUUGCAAUUAUUAAUCUUCAACGAGGAAUUCCUAGUAAGCGCGAGUCAUCAGCUCGCGUUGAUUACGUCCCUGCCCUUUGUACACACCGCCCGUCGCUCCUACCGAUUGAAUGGUCCGGUGAAAUCUUCGGAUUGCUGACCAAGAUCCAGCAAUGGAGCUUGGUUGCGAGAAGUUGAUUAAACCUUAUUAUUUAGAGGAAGGAGAAGUCGUAACA